This 721-nucleotide ribosomal RNA is filed under the name Macrobrachium malayanum. Its description in RNAcentral is "eukaryotic LSU rRNA". It matches the Rfam family "Eukaryotic large subunit ribosomal RNA", at positions 65 to 605 of the family's 3401-position model. Lineage: Eukaryota; Metazoa; Arthropoda; Malacostraca; Decapoda; Palaemonidae. The record is from RNAcentral.
CCAACCGGGAUUCCCUCCGUAAGGGCGACUGAAAGGGGAUGAGCCCAGCGCAUAACCUUCCGGUCUGUAUGUGGCCGCGGAGGGGUGUUGCGUUUCGGUGGAUCCGUACCGCUCGAGUUGCUGACCGCCUAAGUCAUUGCUUGAAUGCAGCCCCGAGGAGGGUGGUAGGCCCGUGUGGCGGCGCCUGUAAAAAGGUCCGAAGCAACUUGGGCGGAGGGGUCUUUACCGUAGAGUCGGGUUGCUUAGUACUGCAGCCCUAAGUAGGUGGUAAACUCCAUCUAAGGCUAAAUACUACCACGAGUCCGAUAUUUGACAAGUACCGUGAGGGAAAGCUGAAAAGGACUCUGAAGAGAGAGUUCAAGAGGACGUGAAACCAUUAGAAGCUGAAACGGGUGGAACCGUGAAGGUGGAAAGAGGGGAUUCAGGCUGUGGACACGGGCUUAAGCCUUGAGGUUGGCUAUUGUGAGAGGACCCGGCGUUAAGUGUGAGUUGCCGGUGCCCCUGUGGGCUUUUGCCUGUGUGGGCGGCUUUAGUUCUCCCUCGAGUACUAGUGGUGGCGACCCGCUGCUCGGACCCCGAGGGCCCCCUUGGACUGGUAGCCUGCACCUUUGGUGUAGGUGAGGACCUGGUGGGGUGCUGGCUGGGUUUGAGCGGCGGUCACUGUGAGGAGGCGGCUGCUACGCAAGUGGCUGGCCGCCUCUCGCCAUGUGAGAGGGAUCGG